This is a non-coding RNA of Equus caballus (horse), 587 nucleotides long. NCBI's taxonomy places the organism in Eukaryota, Metazoa, Chordata, Mammalia, Perissodactyla, Equidae. The record is from the annotation of a RefSeq genome assembly.
AAUAAACGCAGCUUGAAAUUCACACUAGUUUUCACCAGCUCUGCCUGCCCAACCACAUCCUGUGAAAUGUUUUAGUCUCAGGCACACAGCAACUGUGAAGACCAUGGGAAACGACCACAUCACAAGGAGGUUGCUGAUGGGGGAUGAGGAAGCCGUAGAGAAAAGGCCACCUGCCAUUGCUUUUCCCUGAGCCAGCCAUGUGCUGCAGACUUCUCUGCUGUGUGGCCCUUUUUUUCUGGGGAGCAGGCUCCAUGGACACUAAGGUCACCCAGAGGCCUGGACAUCUGGUCAAAGGAAAGGAACAGAAAGCAAAGAUGGAUUGUGUCCCCAUAAAAACACAUAGUUAUGUUUAUUGGUAUCGCCGGAAGCUGGAAGGAGAGUUUGAGUUUUUGGUUUACUUACAGAAUGGAAAGAUUACAGAUAAAAUAGAAGGGUUUGAUCAGCAAUUCUCAGCUCAAUGCCCCCAAGAUGCAUCCUGCAGCCUGGAAAUCAAGUCCACUGAGCCAGGAGACUCUGCACUGUAUUUCUGUGCCAGCAGUGAAUCCACAGUGCUGAACGUGAGCUUUUCUUAGCACACAAACUCAUCG